UCCUCCCUCUGUCGGCGUGCUUAACACAUGCAAGUCGCACGGAAAGGCCCUGCUUUUGUGGGGUGCUCGAGUGGCGAACGGGCGCGUAACACGUGAGUAACCUGCCCUUGACUUUGGGCUAACUUCAGGACACUGGGGCUAAUACCGGAUAGGAGCUCCUGCUGCAUGGUGGGGGUUGGAAAGUUUCGGCGGUUGGGGAUGGACUCGCGGCUUAUCAGCUUGUUGGUGGGGUAGUGGCUUACCAAGGCUUUGACGGGUAGCCGGCCUGAGAGGGGGACCGGCCACAUUGGGACUGAGAUACGGCCCAGACUCCUACGGGAGGCAGCAGUAGGGAAUAAUGCACAAUGGGCGGAAGCCGGAUGCAGCAACGCCGCGUGCGGGAUGACGGCCUUCGGGUUGGAAACCGCUUUCGCCUGUGACGAAGCGUGAGUGACGGUAAUGGGUAAAGAAGCACCGGCUAACUACGUG
This 468-nucleotide ribosomal RNA is filed under the name uncultured bacterium. Its description in RNAcentral is "partial 16S ribosomal RNA". It matches the Rfam family "Bacterial small subunit ribosomal RNA", at positions 36 to 507 of the family's 1533-position model. The record is from RNAcentral.